Molecule: long non-coding RNA, 6275 nt
Filed under: Linum usitatissimum (flax)
Lineage: Eukaryota; Viridiplantae; Streptophyta; Magnoliopsida; Malpighiales; Linaceae
Description: long non-coding RNA (LUSI_LNC007637)
Source: RNAcentral
CUUAUAUGACAAUAAGCUUUCAGGAUACAUUCCAUCUUCAAUAGGAAACUUAACCGAAUUGCUUGAACUGAGUGUCAGCAAUAACCAUCUUGAUGGUGAAAUUCCUACAUCUAUUCAGAAUUGCCAGAGAUUGUUAUAUUUGAACCUUGAUAGCAACAGCCUUAGUGGCGUCAUCCCUCCACAAGUCAUGAGCCUGACCUCCUUAUCAAUUGGACUAGGCUUGUCUAACAAUCAAUUCAGCGGUGCCAUACCCAUUGAAGUAGGGAACCUGAAAAACUUGAACAAUUUCGAUCUAUCCCAUAAUAUGUUGUCAGGCAACAUCCCAAGUAGUUUGGGUGGUUGUAUUAGCUUAGAGACUCUCUACUUGCAAGGAAAUCGCUUACAACGUAUCAUUCCUUCUUCUUUGAAGUCAUUGAGAGCUAUUCAAGAGUUGGACCUUUCUUCCAAUAACUUAUCGGGUCAAAUUCCAAAAUACUUGGAACUCAUGAAUAUCACGGGUCUUUUGAAUUUGUCGCAUAACAAUUUCGAUGGUGAAGUGCCAACACACGGAAUCUUCAAGAAUACUAGCAUAAUUUCGGUCAUCGGAAAUGACAAACUAUGUGGGGGAAUUGCUGCACUUAAACUUCCGCAAUGUGACUUGACAAUACCCUCAACCAAGAGAUUGAGUCUCAAGUGGAAGAUUAUUAUAUCAACAGUUUCGAGCCUACUCUUUCUUGGCUUCAUUGCUUUGGCCUUCUUUAUCUUGUGGAUUAAAAAAAGACGAAGAAAAGAUAAAGUUCCAAAGGAUGAUUCAAAAUUACUGCAAUUAUCUUACCAAAGGCUCUACAAAGCUACAGAUGGCUUCUCCUCAGCAAAUCAGAUUGGCGUCGGUAGUUUUGGCACGGUGUACAAGGGUGUCCUUGAUGAUAUUUCUGAAAUGAGUAUCAAAAUUGCUGUGAAAGUAUUCAACCUUCAGUGUCGUGGUGCUUCCAAAAGUUUUAUGGCGGAAUGUGAAGCAUUGAAGAACAUCAGGCACAAAAACCUUGUGAAGAUAGUAACGGUAUGUUCAAGUGUUGAUCACGAAGGGAAUGAUUUCAAGGCUCUCAUUUAUGACUUCUUAGCUAAUGGAAGCUUAGAAGACUGGCUGCAUCAGCCAAUUGAAAGAAUAGAUGAGCCUACAACAAGGAUCUUGAAUUUCAUCCAGAGGCUAAAUGUUGCUAUUGAUAUAGCUUCUGCGGUGGAUUACCUUCACAACAACUGUGGAACUCCAAUUGUUCAUUGUGAUCUCAAGCCUAGUAAUGUACUUCUCGACAAGGAUAUGGUGGCGCAUGUUGGUGAUUUUGGUUUGGUAAGAUUCCUUUCAAGAGUUGAAAAUCCAUCUUCAAGUACAAUUGGUAUAAAGGGAACAGUUGGCUAUGCACCUCCAGGUAAAAAAGAAAGUUAUGUUUGCAUACCGUAAAGAUUUUAAUCAAUCCAUAUUUUCUAAUUGUUACUUUUCUCUAAUAAUAUCCUCUUGCAGAAUAUGGAAUGGGGAACGAAGUCUCGAUACAAGGUGACAUCUACAGUUAUGGUAUCCUUCUACUGGAAUUAUUUACUGGGAAGAGACCAACCAAUGAGAUUUUCAAAGACGGCUUAAGCCUUCAUAACUUUGUCAUGGACGCUUUAUCAGAACAACACACAUUCGAAGUUAUCGAUCCGGUUCUACUCAACGAACUACUUCGUAGGUUGACAACUCAUCACAACAAUACAAGUAAGAGCUUAGAUGAAGUGAGAAAGGACUUAGAGGAGGUAAUGUGUUCUAUUCUCAAAAUCGGCGUUGCUUGUUCUUUAGACAUCGCAGAAAAGAGAAUUAGUAUGGGCGAAGUUUUAUCCAGACUUACCGCCGUAAAGAAAAAGGUAUGUCCAGUUAACAGGAGGUAGAUGAAGUGAAACCGGCUCGAACAUGUGAUCAACUAAAGAAUGACGAUGUCAUGCCGGUUGUCGAGAGAGACGUCAAUAUUACUGAUUACUACCUAGUAUUGCAAAAAUAAGCACUAUGCAAUUGUAACAACAUUUUGAUUUUCAGUGUUUAGAUUUGCUGGUUGCUGCCUAUUACAGCAAUUUCAAGGCUAAUUAAAAGCUGAAUCAUCAUACUUGACACGUUAUCCAAAUGCAGAGGCUUUGGUUCUUGUUCGAGUUGAAUGUCUGUAUUAUUACCCCAAAAUCUUUAUACGGUUGCAAUAAUUUAUCAAAGUCAUUACUUAAGUUGUCAAUAUAUACAAUUUAACUUGAGAAUAAUAAAUAAAUAAAAUUAAAAGACAUGGAUUUUUUAUCUUAUUAUGGAUUUUUCGUUUUGGAUUUUAGUUCUGGUUUAUUAAUUGAUGUGUUUCCUCUCUUUCAAAAUGAACUUCACUAAUAACAGUGCUUAAUUAAGCUUUACUAACUAUCCAUCACAAUGUCGAAGUUGCAGAGUUGCCGAGUUGUCUCUUAAAGGAGAGUUUUAACCCUAAAUCCUUUCAUCGCCGCCACCGCCGCCAUGACACCACGACCCCUCCGACAUCUCACAAGCCAUUCACGGACACAAACGCCAAAGCCACCAGAUCUAUCACCACGGCAUUCACAACUCGGCCGUCGCAAAUUCGUCUAAAAAACUAUCCAUCACAAUCUUAAGCACUGUUAUUAAAAAAUCACGACAAUGACACAAAAUAAUGGUCCUAGGAACUUGCAAUUCUAUAAUUGAUCCUAUUCAUAACCCGACUCGGCGUGUUUUACGGUUAUAUAUAUAAAAGUCUAUUAACUAAAUUGGGUAUAUAUACCAAUAUAAAAGUCUGAUUUUGCCUGGAUAAUUCCAGAAAGACACAUGUAGUGUAGUGUAUUCAAUUUGAUUGCUUUGUAAGGCUAGAGGUUUUUGUUAUGCGCAAAGGUAUAAUCUUUGCUAUCUCCAUGAAUCAUUGAAUCAAAUUCGAGAAGUUCGUUCGAUUGUUUGUUCGACUUUAGCGGAUUUGAGGAGUGAGUAAGUGCUUUGGUGGAGUUAGAAAAUUGACAAAUGAAGUUUCGAAUUUAUAUACCAAAGCUCAACUACAUCCAAUCUUGGUCACAAAGCUAAGCUAAGGCUGUUUUUUGUCUCACAUCCAUAUCUUACCUAUUGAAUGUGUAACAUUAUGCUCACUUCAACAUUUGUUGAACAUUUUCCCAUGAAAUCUAUGGUGGCAUCCUACUCAUCCAUCUUAAUGAAACCAAGUCUCACGUUGCAUUGAUCGGUUGGGAAAAUGGUGGUUAGAAAUAUCUCCAAACUUGCAAAAUGGGAUGAAGCGUUGUCCACAGGUUUCAUUGUCUACGCAAAAGGUAAUCACAGUCCACUGAAAAUGUUCUGUACGUCAGCUAGUCAACUAACCAAGUCUUGUGGAUCCAGUUAAAAACGGUUGGAAGAAUAUUCUACAAACAGCAAGUGCAUGGUUCGUAUAUUAAGUCAGUUAUCGGCACCCUUCAUAAUAUACCAUCUCACAAUCUCAUUCAUAAUAACCAUAAGGAAAAUAAAAUGAGUUCAGGAAGCUCGAGUCACGAAUCGAAUUCGAGAAAUUUAUUCGAUUAAUUGUUAGACUUUAGCUGAUUUGAGGUGUGAGUAAGUGGUUCGGCGGAGUCAGAAAAUUGGGCAAAAAAAUUUCGAAUUCAUACACUGAAGAUCAAUUACAUUAUCAUGAAAAAGUUACUUCAAAAUGGAACUACCUCACGAAAAAUAAUUUUAAAUAGCAAAUGAUUUGAAAUAUGAGAAACUUUAAAUAUGGAAGUUAUUGAUCAAAAUAUGAGGGACUUCAAAUAUGUCACGGGUUAAGUAAGUCAUCACAUGCAUGAAUAUACAAAGCAAGCUAAUUUGAAAUUUUUUAGCACUAACAUAACCCCACCAACAUAACAUCAAAAAAUUGAUUUUGAACUUCAUUUGACCAUUUACGGGGUUACCAUAAUGAAACUUGAAUUUUUAGUUAUUUUCAACAUGUAGGUGGAAUAUUAGCCAAUUUAUUUUUUUUUAAUUUUCAUGUCAAAAUUGUCAAUAUUAAUGGGUUAUAACACAUGGAAAUUGACAAUUUUCGCAUGGAAAUUUCAAAUUUUCAAAUCAACUAGUAAUUGAAAUGCAUGUUGAAAAUGACUAAAAUUUUGUCACUAUGUAAUACAUUAAAAUCUUUAAAAAUGAAGAAGUAGAUUACAUUCGAGUUUUAUCUAGUACCAUCCUUAGCCGUUUUUUGGUUGUGGAAUUGGUUGGAAAAUGGUGGUUAGAAAUAUCUCCAACUUUGUCCACAAGAUUUCACUGUCUAUGUGAGUAAUCGAUAAGUUAGUCUUUUGGAUCAAUCAAGUCAAGUCCCUCCCAAAACCAAUCAAGAUGAAGAAAAUGAGUUACGGGAGUUUGAGGGAACAUAGUGGCAAUUCAGUCAUCGUUUGGGGCAUAUGUGGUGUCAUCGUAACGAACCGUAUUAAUUCGAUGGUCCAGAUUGUCUUAAUGGUACUCACCACCGUUGGGAUCAAACUUGGGUUUCUUGUCUCGGUUAUGUGAGCUAGUCGAUUAAUGAAGUCUUGUGGAUCAAGCCAAGAAUGGUUGGAAGAAGAUACACAGGCAAGUGGUUUGUGUAUGAGCCUUUCCAACUUCUAUAAUAAGUGAAGAGUUAUUAGCAGCAUUCUUAAUACCAUCUCAAAAUCUCAUUCAUAAUACUCAAAAGGAAAGAAAGCAAAUAGAAAUCAAGAAAAAAUGAGUUUAGAGAGUUUGAUCAGUGUGUAUAAUGUGGUAACAUUACUUGUUCAACUGAUGUGCCUUUGCAGUGUUGCUUCUUCCUCGGGCAUUCUGUUGAGGAACGAGACCGAUCGUCUCGCUUUGUUAGAGUUCAAGACCAUGAUUACUUCUGAUCCUUUCGGGGUUUUGAAUUCGUGGAAUGAUUCUGUUCAUUUCUGCAAGUGGUAUGGCGUGUCUUGUUCUAAAAGACAUUAUGGCAGAGUCACUGAGUUAAAUCUGUCAUCUCACGGACUCUCCGGCUCUAUCUCGCCAUACGUUGGCAAUCUCAGCUUUCUGAAAUAUCUACGUCUCUACAACAACAGCAUGGGUGGGGAAAUACCUCCGGAAAUCGGCCGCCUUAGCAAAUUGCAUCGGUUGUCGCUUCUCAACAACUCGUUUGAUGGUAAGAUCCCAUCCAACAUCUCAGAAUGCUCUGCUCUUACUUUGUUCAGAGUAGAUAAUAAUAAGCUGGUUGGAGAACUACCAUGGAAAUUCGGUCAAUUGAGCAAACUCCAAUUGUUUGACGUAAGAUCAAACAAUCUUCACGGGAGCAUCCCUCUCAGUUUUGGGAACUUGUCAUCUCUCCACGAGUUUCAAGUAGACGAUAACCAAUUAAGUGGGAGGAUUCCGGCUACCCUAGGACGAUUGAAGAGCAUUCAGGUAUUGUCUUUAGGGCUUAAUAACUUAGUUGGUGAAAUCCCUUCUUCCAUCUUCAAUCUUUCUUCUCUCACGGAGCUGUGGUUUGGAAGUAAUCAGCUUCAUGGCAUUCUUCCUUGGAACCUUGGAUUAUUACUUCCAAAUCUUCAGAAUUUUGAUGUGGCGUUUAACCGGUUUAUUGGAAGUGUUCCACCUUCCUUAUCCAAUGCCUCCAAUUUGGUUUUACUACAACUCCAUAACAACAGUUUUAUGGGAAACAUGCCUAAUAUGGGAUUCUCUAACAAGCUUACGCAGUUCAAUAUUUUUGGCAACUCUCUCGGAAGUGGGAAGGCUAAUGAUCUGAAAUUCCUCUCUUCUUUGACCAAUGCCACAAGUUUGGAAAGAGUGGAUUUUGCGGGAAAUAAAUUUGGAGGGAGCUUACCGCAAGAUAUUGCCAACUUGUCAACCACUCUCAGGAAACUAUCCUUUUAUGACAACAAAAUAUCUGGAACUAUUCCAAGUGGGAUUCAAUACCUAGUCAACUUGGAAGUGCUUUGGGCAAAUAAUAAUAAUCUAUCAGGUCAAAUCCCAUCCGAUAUUGGUCACUUAAAGUUUCUAAAGACGGUGUACUUAUAUGACAAUAAGCUUUCAGGAUACAUUCCAUCUUCAAUAGGAAACUUAACCGAAUUGCUUGAACUGAGUGUCAGCAAUAACCAUCUUGAUGGUGAAAUUCCUACAUCUAUUCAGAAUUGCCAGAGAUUGUUAUAUUUGAACCUUGAUAGCAACAGCCUUAGUGGCGUCAUCCCUCCACAAGUCAUGAGCCUGACCUCCUUAUCAAUUGGACUAGGCUUGUCUAACAAUCAAUUCAGCGGUGCCAUACCCAUUGAAGUAGGGAACCUGAAAAACUUGAACAAUUUCGAUC